Tribolium madens (black flour beetle) is the source of this 1363-nucleotide long non-coding RNA. RefSeq lists it as uncharacterized. The transcript has 3 exons. The record is from RefSeq and is a predicted model, not a curated record. Lineage: Eukaryota; Metazoa; Arthropoda; Insecta; Coleoptera; Tenebrionidae.
GCUUGUUCAAAGUCAAAAAAUAAAAAUUUUGGUACUUAUCGUAGCAUCAUCGUUUAUUUAAACGAAUAGAAACUAUCUGACAUUGCCGACGAGUGUGAGAGGUACCUUCAAUAUAGGUCCUUCGACAGAGUUCAGAUUUCGCCAGUCUCCGAAAACGUGAUUGUCAAAGGCCGCCCAUGGUGGGAAAGAUACCAACCUCAUACUGUUCUACGGCUUCGAAUCCCAACUCUCUGACAUAAUUUCCAGAUGUAACAAAGUCGGAAUUAGGUGAAAUUCCAAUUCGGAAUUUCACCACUCGAUGAAUAAAUCAUUUCAGGAUUUAUGCAGAUGUGAUUUUCAACUACAGGGAACCACAGGAAUGGGUACGGCAGAAAAUAAAGCAAUGAGUGAUGUUAAAAUUUAUCCUGGCGUGCCUUACACUCCGUAGGAUUUUCAUCCUACUUGUAAUAUUCCGAAUUAUUUAAAUCCUGAAGUUGUGAGAAACUGCAAACUUAAUAAUCUGAGAGACUUAGACCAAGUAUUAUGUCGUGAUCGGAAAUGAGGGAUACGUAGACCUCGAAAUUGUGUUUGAAUCGUCUAGCAAUAAGUUCGGUCUUCAGUGGCAAAGGCAAUUUAUCAACUUUGCAAAAUUGGGCCCCUGCUUGGGUUUCGUCUUGAAAACUGACUCACUUGUUUUUGUUGACACUCACAGCAGCCAACCGCAACGACCAAGUUUUGACAAAAAUCUGAGACAGAACAAAAUGCCUCUAGCUUUUAUGCUGUCACACUUUUAUGGUUCCCCCAGUUUUAUUUAGAAUUAUUAUUUUUUGACAUUCUCUGAAAAUACUCAUAUCAAAUCUCCAAUUAUUUAUUCUGAUGGUUUUUGUGAGAAUGACUCUGUUUGUGAACACCGGUGGCCUUAAGUGACAAAAAUUAUCGAUUUCAGAAAUGUAGUUUCAGGGACAGAUUGGAAAUUGAUGGUCAAAUAACAAACAAUAGAAUGCGUUUUCUCGAGUGAUUUGUAGCGUUUGCAAAAACUUGACUGAAAAAAUUUAGAUUGGGGUAGCUGCUGGUACUUAUUGUGAUAUCAUUUCUGAAAAUUUGGUCAAUAAGACUUGAUCCGAAAAGAAUUUGGGUGUCGUUAGUAAUAAGGAAGUUGCCACUGUUAGUAGACAAAAAAAAUUGUUGUUGUAGUGAAAAUAAAUCGAUUAAUUUUAUUGUACUUUAUUUGUAAACACAUUUUAUAUAGCUGUAUUGACCUUGUCAAACCAUUAAUAAUUUCAUUUAUUUAAUAAUAAUUUUGUCAUUGAAGCGUCAGUUGAACAGAGAAAUAAUUUAUUUUUUAAUUUAACUCAAACGUUGAUUCUGUAUGUAUAGAACUUCA